AGUUCCUAUUGUUCUAUGAUACUGAAUGUUUCUAUCUACCAGCAGGAGCCAAAAGAGAAUUGACCUCCGUGAAAAAGCUUCGGCACUAUAUUGUCUACCGGAGAUGACAAUAACGAGUUUCUUAACUCUUAAUGUUUUUCAUAAGUUCUCUUAAUGUUUACUACAGAUACAUGAAGCUACGCGUUAGAAUCACAAGCCAAAUGCCAAAUACCAAAAACCGAAUCAGUAAGUAGAACAUUCUGUAUUUCUCUAUUUUUAAACUUAAGCAUAU
This 271-nucleotide long non-coding RNA is filed under the name Brassica napus (rape). RNAcentral describes it as "long non-coding RNA (BNAP_LNC012111)". Lineage: Eukaryota; Viridiplantae; Streptophyta; Magnoliopsida; Brassicales; Brassicaceae. The record is from RNAcentral.